ACUGCCCUUAAUCCUUUAAAAAGUGAAAAUUUAUUCCCAUCUCCUUACCAAACUUAUGACUAUAUGGGCGUUGCCGACGGCGUUGGCGGCUGGCGCGACUCUGGCGUGGAUCCUUCUAUUUUUCCUUGGGCUUUAAUGAACACUUGCACCUCAAUUAUAUCCUCUUUGUCUAAAAAAGAAUCUAUUUUUAUGCCUGUUAACUUAUUGGACUUAGCUUUAAAAAAAGUAACGUUUCAAAAAAAUUGUUAAAGCCGGAAGUAGUACAGUCUGUUUGGCUUUGUUUGAUAGAGCUAAACGGUUAUUGCACGGGGCUAACAUAGGCGAUUCAGGAUUGUGUGUGGUGCGAAAAAAUAAGAUGAUUUUUAAAACCUCUGGACAACAGCACUAUUUUAACGCACCUUUUCAGGUGGGUGUGGUACCACCAAAUCUCCUACAGGAAUCUUUACUUAACAGUGCUAAAGAUUCUGAAAUAUUUGAGAUACCACUAGAGAAAGACGAUUUUGUUAUUUUGGCUACAGACGGAAUUUUUGAUAAUCUUUUUGAUCAUGAAGUUGAAGAAUGCAUUAAAAAACAU
Molecule: long non-coding RNA, 574 nt
Organism: Zophobas morio
Lineage: Eukaryota; Metazoa; Arthropoda; Insecta; Coleoptera; Tenebrionidae
Exons: 3
Source: RefSeq, a predicted model, not a curated record